UACGGGGGGGGCAAGCGUUGUUCGGAAUUACUGGGCGUAAAGGGCUCGUAGGCGGCCAACUAAGUCAGACGUGAAAUCCUAGAGCUUAACUCUAGAACUGCCAUUGAUACUAUCUGUCUCGAAUAUUGUGGAGGUAAGCGGAAUAUGUCAUGUAGCGGUGAAAUGCUUAGAUAUGACAUAGAACACCUAUUGCGAAGGCAGCUUACUACGCAUAUAUUGACGCUGAGGCACGAAAGCGUGGGGAUCAAACAGG
This 253-nucleotide ribosomal RNA is filed under the name uncultured bacterium. Its description in RNAcentral is "partial 16S ribosomal RNA". It matches the Rfam family "Bacterial small subunit ribosomal RNA", at positions 524 to 776 of the family's 1533-position model. The record is from RNAcentral.